GCUAACGUAGCAUACUCUGGCUAUGCAGAUGACCUAAAAUCUUCUAACAGGGGUUCAAAUCCCCUCGCUAGCU
This 73-nucleotide transfer RNA is filed under the name Microkayla wettsteini (Wettstein's Andes frog). RNAcentral describes it as "tRNA-Leu". It matches the Rfam family "tRNA". From Rfam's summary of the family: Transfer RNA (tRNA) molecules are approximately 80 nucleotides in length. Their secondary structure includes four short double-helical elements and three loops (D, anti-codon, and T loops). Lineage: Eukaryota; Metazoa; Chordata; Amphibia; Anura; Craugastoridae. The record is from RNAcentral.